This 253-nucleotide ribosomal RNA is filed under the name uncultured bacterium. RNAcentral describes it as "partial 16S ribosomal RNA". It matches the Rfam family "Bacterial small subunit ribosomal RNA", at positions 524 to 776 of the family's 1533-position model. The record is from RNAcentral.
UACAGAGGUCUCAAGCGUUGUUCGGAUUCAUUGGGCGUAAAGGGUGCGUAGGCGGCGCCGUAAGUGGGGUGUGAAAUUUCGGAGCUUAACUCCGAAACUGCAUUCCAUACUGCGGUGCUUGAGGACUGGAGAGGAGACUGGAAUUCAUGGUGUAGCAGUGAAAUGCGUAGAGAUCAUGAGGAAGACCAGUGGCGAAGGCGGGUCUCUGGACAGUUCUUGACGCUGAGGCACGAAGGCCAGGGGAGCAAACAGG